Molecule: ribosomal RNA, 1162 nt
Filed under: Myxacorys californica WJT71-NPBG23
Lineage: Bacteria; Bacillati; Cyanobacteriota; Cyanophyceae; Leptolyngbyales; Leptolyngbyaceae
Description: bacterial SSU rRNA
Rfam family: Bacterial small subunit ribosomal RNA
Source: RNAcentral
GGGGAAUUUUCCGCAAUGGGGGAAAGCCUGACGGAGCAAUACCGCGUGAGGGAGGACGGCUUUUGGGUUGUAAACCUCUUUUAUCAGGGAAGAAACAAAUGACGGUACCUGAUGAAUCAGCAUCGGCUAACUCCGUGCCAGCAGCCGCGGUAAUACGGAGGAUGCAAGCGUUAUCCGGAAUUAUUGGGCGUAAAGCGUCCGUAGGUGGUUGUUCAAGUCUGCUGUCAAAGCGUGGAGCUUAACUCCAUACCGGCAGUGGAAACUGGGCGACUAGAGUGCGAUAGGGGUAACGGGAAUUCCCAGUGUAGCGGUGAAAUGCGUAGGGAUUGGGAAGAACACCAGCGGCGAAAGCGCGUUACUGGGUCUGCACUGACACUGAGGGACGAAAGCUAGGGGAGCGAAAGGGAUUAGAUACCCCUGUAGUCCUAGCCGUAAACGGUGGAUACUAGGUGUGGUUCGUAUCGACCCGAGCCGUGCCGGAGCUAACGCGUUAAGUAUCCCGCCUGGGGAGUACGCACGCUAGUGUGAAACUCAAAGGAAUUGACGGGGGCCCGCACAAGCGGUGGAGUAUGUGGUUUAAUUCGAUGCAACGCGAAGAACCUUACCAAGGCUUGACAUGUCGCGAACCUUCUUGAAAGGGAAGGGUGCCUUCGGGAGCGCGAACACGGGUGGUGCAUGGCUGUCGUCAGCUCGUGUCGUGAGAUGUUGGGUUAAGUCCCGCAACGAGCGCAACCCACGUUUUUAGUUGCCAGCAUUCAGUUGGGCACUCUAGAGAGACUGCCGGUGACAAACCGGAGGAAGGUGUGGAUGACGCCAAGUCAGCAUGCCCCAUACGCCUUGGGCUACACACGUACUACAAUGCUACGGACAGAGGGACGCCAGCCCGCGAGGGUGAGCAAAUCUCGUAAACCGUGGCUCAGUUCAGAUUGCAGGCUGCAACUCGCCUGCAUGAAGGCGGAAUCGCUAGUAAUCGCCGGUCAGCAUACGGCGGUGAAUACGUUCCCGGGCCUUGUACACACCGCCCGUCACACCAUGGGAGUUGGUCAUGCCCGAAGUCGUUACUCCAACCAUUCGUGGAGGGGGACGCCGAAGGUGGGGCUGAUGACUGGGGUGAAGUCGUAACAAGGUAGCCGUACCGGAAGGUGUGGCUGGAUCACCUCCU